Ictidomys tridecemlineatus (thirteen-lined ground squirrel) is the source of this 73-nucleotide non-coding RNA. NCBI's taxonomy places the organism in Eukaryota, Metazoa, Chordata, Mammalia, Rodentia, Sciuridae. The record is from Rfam.
GUGGAUAUAGUUCAGUUGGUAGAAUGCUUGCCUUACAUGCACAAGGCCCUGGGUUCGAUCCCCAGCACACACA